CUUCACUACCCAGCUCUCAUUCCCAGCCCUGGACAAGCCAGUUUGUUCUGGGGGGGAAGAGGGGACUGGUAAUGGAGUGCGGAUUGGGCCCACAGGAGGCCUGCUCACGAUUGAUUUUCUGACUCUAAAAAGAAGAGAGGGACCAAGAAAUUGAGCUUGUGAAUAUGAAUAUGAAUAUUGGCCACAUCUGAGAUACCCAAAACAUUCAAGAUCAAAACGUGUCUGUGAAGCAUUACUUGGAAGACAAAUCAAAUAUAUGAGAGCAGCCACAGAGACUCCCAGAAGCUGUGAGCUACAGCAGAACCCAAGGACUUUUGCAUUUCCACAGCAAAUGACACUCCAGCCUGGACUCCCGGGGAUUUGGGGGGGAUGGGGUGAUGCACUGCUUUCUCUGUGAAUCUCUACUGCCUACUAGUCCAUGCCUCUGUAUCUCUGUCUCUUUGUAAGUAAUUUUGGGGGGUGUGUGUGUGGGGGGGCUGUUUUGUGUUUACAACAGUCUUAAUGUCUGUAUUGGAACAGUUCAGUAAAAGUAAAGUUUCCUCAGGUUCCAUUUCCUUAAUCCUGUGUUUUUAACUGUAAUGGUCACAAACUCACAAAUGGUAAACUAUACAAAAUAUGAUGCUCGAGUCAGUAGUCACUUGUGUCUUGCCAAAACUUGGAGAAAAAAAAAUAAGGUAGCAUUU
Rattus norvegicus (Norway rat) is the source of this 683-nucleotide non-coding RNA. NCBI's taxonomy places the organism in Eukaryota, Metazoa, Chordata, Mammalia, Rodentia, Muridae. The record is from RefSeq and is a predicted model, not a curated record.